RNAcentral lists this long non-coding RNA (294 nucleotides) under Nicotiana benthamiana. RNAcentral's name for it is "long non-coding RNA (NBEN_LNC042414)". The record is from RNAcentral. Lineage: Eukaryota; Viridiplantae; Streptophyta; Magnoliopsida; Solanales; Solanaceae.
GAUACUGUAGGGGAGGUCCUGCGGAAAAAUAGCUCGAUGCCAGGAUAAUAAAAAGCUUAACACCUCUCAUUCUUAUUACUUUUUCAAUAUGAAAACGAAAAAAAAGGAAAAUUCAAAAGGUCGUUUUAUUCAAAACCCUAAUUGUGACAUCCCUUCUCUCCCACUUCACACCUCGGAACGCACCCUUCUUAUAGAGAUAAACGCGCCUUCACAUCUUCUUAACCCGAAAUGGCUGCCUUCUCUCCCACUUCACACCUCGGAACGCACCCUUCUUAUAGAGAUAAACGCGCCUUC